UGGAACUGAAUUUCCGAUGUCCACAAAUUAGGAUCCGAAAAAUUCUGAUUUCGAAACGAAUUUUUCAUGUCCGAUUUUCGAAAUUUCGAUUUCUGAAUUUUCCGAAAUGCAUCUGACCGAAAUCGGAAAUUUAUAUAAAAUCUUAAAAAUGGUCCCAAUUCCAAACCAAAAUAAUUCCGAAAUUUCCGAAUAUUAUUAAUGUUUAUUAAUUAUUAUGUACUAAUAAACCCAGAGAAACCCUUAUUUCCGUUUUCUUCUUCUCUGGGCCAUAAAAUUGCCUGAAGCUACAGAUAUAAACCCACACUUCACGGCCGGCUGCACAACCGCCGUCUCCGCCGCCCGUCGGAAUAUUCAGGUAUGAUCGGUUAUCACCAUUUCAUUGGACUGCACUCGUUGAUUUCGAUUCAAAUAAUCAUAUGGUAAAAAAAUCCAUAAUUAUUUCGAUAACAGUUUAAAUUGAAUACAUUUUUAUCUGUUUUAAAGUUAACUUGUCCGAAAUGGUAUUUUUUUCUUUUCUUAAUUUCAAUCAGACAUAAACCCUAAAUCAAUCUGGCAUUUGAAGAAGCAGAGUUCAUACCUUGUGGAUGAAUUGAUAAUAAAAAAAUCCGGCAGUUUCGAUAAUUCCGAAAUCAAGUUUAACACAUUCAGAAACUAAUGGAGAAUGAUUCUGCUUCAAAUCCAAGAUCUGGUGGUGGCGGAUCAACUUCCUCCGUCCAGGGCGGCGGCAUGAC
RNAcentral lists this long non-coding RNA (731 nucleotides) under Erythranthe guttata (spotted monkey flower). RNAcentral's name for it is "long non-coding RNA (EGUT_LNC001634)". Lineage: Eukaryota; Viridiplantae; Streptophyta; Magnoliopsida; Lamiales; Phrymaceae. The record is from RNAcentral.